UCGAGCGGAAACGACCACUAACAAUCCUUCGGGUGCGUUAAUGGGCGUCGAGCGGCGGACGGGUGAGUAAUGCCUAGGAAAUUGCCUUGAUGUGGGGGAUAACCAUUGGAAACGAUGGCUAAUACCGCAUAAUGCCUACGGGCCAAAGAGGGGGACCUUCGGGCCUCUCGCGUCAAGAUAUGCCUAGGUGGGAUUAGCUAGUUGGUGAGGUAAUGGCUCACCAAGGCGACGAUCCCUAGCUGGUCUGAGAGGAUGAUCAGCCACACUGGAACUGAGACACGGUCCAGACUCCUACGGGAGGCAGCAGUGGGGAAUAUUGCACAAUGGGCGAAAGCCUGAUGCAGCCAUGCCGCGUGUAUGAAGAAGGCCUUCGGGUUGUAAAGUACUUUCAGUUGUGAGGAAGGGUGUGUAGUUAAUAGCUGCGCAUCUUGACGUUAGCAACAGAAGAAGC
RNAcentral lists this ribosomal RNA (451 nucleotides) under marine bacterium 13732. Its description in RNAcentral is "bacterial SSU rRNA". It matches the Rfam family "Bacterial small subunit ribosomal RNA", at positions 62 to 491 of the family's 1533-position model. Lineage: Bacteria; Pseudomonadati; Pseudomonadota; Gammaproteobacteria; Vibrionales; Vibrionaceae. The record is from RNAcentral.